Molecule: RNA transcript, 1345 nt
Organism: Cucumis melo (muskmelon)
Lineage: Eukaryota; Viridiplantae; Streptophyta; Magnoliopsida; Cucurbitales; Cucurbitaceae
Exons: 12
Source: RefSeq, a predicted model, not a curated record
UGAUGGAAUCAAAUUUUAGGAUGCCCUGUCUCGAUCUCGCUCUAUAAAUGAACGCUAAGCCAUGAGAUUGAAGAUUUUGGAUGCAAAAUUGCUUCCACUGUAUCCCCUUCACGAUUUCAUAUACUUCUAGCUCGAGAAAUUGAAUUUCUGAAGUCGAAACAGGGAGUCAUUUGAUGGGUUGGUUCUUGGUUAUUUCUGCCUUGGUUGUAAUUUGGAUUGCUUCAUUAUGCAAAAUCUUUUCAUCUUAUAGCAGUGGUUUCUUAAAUGAUGGCACUCCUCAAAAGAGAAAUAUCUUGCUGGUCAUUGCCCAUCCAGAUGAUGAGUCUAUGUUCUUUUCUCCAACAAUAAACUUCCUUACAUCAAGGGGGCAUAAACUUCAUAUUUUAUGCAUGUCGAUUGGUAAUGCAGAUGGCAUGGGAACCAUAAGAAGAGAAGAGUUAUACAAAGCUUCCACAGUUCUUAAGGUUCCCCUCAAUCAACUGAAGAUCCUGGACCAUCCAGGUUUGCAGGAUGGUUUUGGCAAAGUGUGGGAUCAUAAAUUGCUGGCAGAGAUUAUUGAACAGGAAAUAUCAAGCCGUGAGAUUGACUUGAUUAUUACUUUUGAUAGCUAUGGAGUUUCUGGUCACUGUAAUCAUCGUGAUGUGCACAAUGGGGUGCGAGUUUUCUUACACAAUAAGGCUCCACAAAGUUUCGAGGCAUGGGAACUAGUCAGUACCAAUAUACUACGGAAGUAUAGUGGACCAGUUGAUAUCUGGUUAUCUAUUUUGUUUUCUGAAGCGCACACAAGUGGAACAACACAUUGCUUGAUAAAUGAAUGUCCACGACAAAGCUUCUUCGCAAUGGCACAGCAUGCAAGCCAAUGGGUUUGGUUUCGGAAACUCUUUGUUACAUUUUCCAGUUAUACCUUUGUCAACACACUGAAAAGAAUCAACUAGCCAUGCUGUUAUAACACCAUAUGAUGUUAACAAUAUCCACCGAUAUCUACUUCGUGAGAACUUUACACUGGGAUUUCUUCAUUUCAUAAACGAUUGAAAGAAGGGAAGGAGAAUCCGUGUCAAUAAUCUGAUCUUUCCUAUGCAUAAAGAAAAUACUGUGGGAGGCCUAAGAAUCAUAGUAUAGGCUUUAGUUACACCCAGAAAUCUCCUAUAUCUUCAAGAUCUUUUAUGCAUAUUGCAUGUAAUAAGAGAUCUAUGUACAAAUAUGACCUUUUAUCCUCAUCUAUUUUUCUAGAUAAAUAGCAAUCAGAAAACAAUAUACAGAACAAUAUAGACAUCAGGAAGAAAAAUGUACACAUCCUUAAUUCUUAUUCUUAAGACGUAAAAAUGAUGGAUGCAAUUCGACUAAA